Molecule: ribosomal RNA, 253 nt
Filed under: uncultured bacterium
Lineage: Bacteria
Description: partial 16S ribosomal RNA
Rfam family: Bacterial small subunit ribosomal RNA
Source: RNAcentral
UACGUAGGGUGCGAGCGUUGUCCGGAAUUAUUGGGCGUAAAGGGCUCGUAGGCGGUUUGUCGCGUCGGGAGUGAAAUCAUCUGGCUUAACUGGGUGCUUGCUUUCGAUACGGGCAGACUAGAGGUAUGCAGGGGAGAACGGAAUUCCUGGUGUAGCGGUGAAAUGCGCAGAUAUCAGGAGGAACACCGGUGGCGAAGGCGGUUCUCUGGGCAUGAUCUGACGCUGAGGAGCGAAAGUGUGGGGAGCGAACAGG